RNAcentral lists this ribosomal RNA (128 nucleotides) under Janthinobacterium sp. BJB446. RNAcentral describes it as "partial 16S ribosomal RNA". It matches the Rfam family "Bacterial small subunit ribosomal RNA", at positions 1 to 120 of the family's 1533-position model. The record is from RNAcentral. Lineage: Bacteria; Pseudomonadati; Pseudomonadota; Betaproteobacteria; Burkholderiales; Oxalobacteraceae.
AGAGAUUAAACUGAAGAGUUUGAUCCUGGCUCAGAUUGAACGCUGGCGGCAUGCCUUACACAUGCAAGUCGAACGGCAGCACGGAGCUUGCUCUGGUGGCGAGUGGCGAACGGGUGAGUAAUAUAUCG